CAAAAUACCGGCCUCACGGCCUACGCUGGAUAUGCGCCGGCGUGGGGGGGGGACCUCCCCCCCCCCGCCGGCCAUUGACGGUUAACCCACUGUGAAAAACCUCUGUUGCUUCGGCAGCGCCUUCCCGUCCGCGGGGAGGGUCAGCCUGCCGGCGGCACCCUCGCAAAACCCUUUGUGAAUUUGGUAAAACAAACGUCUGAGAGCGCAGUCGAAUGACAUAUA
This 222-nucleotide unclassified non-coding RNA is filed under the name uncultured Ascomycota. RNAcentral's name for it is "sequence contains ITS1". Lineage: Eukaryota; Fungi; Ascomycota. The record is from RNAcentral.